This 327-nucleotide long non-coding RNA is filed under the name Helianthus annuus (common sunflower). RNAcentral's name for it is "hypothetical non coding rna". The record is from RNAcentral. Lineage: Eukaryota; Viridiplantae; Streptophyta; Magnoliopsida; Asterales; Asteraceae.
AUGCGUUGCUUGUUUUUGGCUUCUUUAAGUUUGCUGAUGUCUGUUUUUUGCUUGUUUGACUUGCGGGCAUUCCUGGAAUCGGUGGUUGCCAGUAUAACCAGUCUGUGAUUGAUCUGAUUGCUUGAAUUGCCGCCAUUCGUGUUGCCCAAUUGAUAUCCUGGCACCUUGGAGCGACUGGCGGAUCCUUUUUUCAAUGCUGCUAGAUAACUAUCUUGAAAUCUAUCCACAUCAACGAAGAUAUUUGAAACGCGAGUACCUACAGUGUUGCCUGCACCGAUUCUGACGUUACCACGCGGUUGCUUUGACAUGAGGAACUCUAAAGCUGCG